RNAcentral lists this ribosomal RNA (253 nucleotides) under uncultured bacterium. RNAcentral's name for it is "partial 16S ribosomal RNA". It matches the Rfam family "Bacterial small subunit ribosomal RNA", at positions 524 to 776 of the family's 1533-position model. The record is from RNAcentral.
UACGAAGGGUGCAAGCGUUACUCGGAAUUACUGGGCGUAAAGCGUGCGUAGGUGGUUCGUUAAGUCUGAUGUGAAAGCCCUGGGCUCAACCUGGGAACUGCAUUGGAUACUGGCGAUCUGGAGUGCGGUAGAGGGUGGCGGAAUUCCCGGUGUAGCAGUGAAAUGCGUAGAUAUCGGGAGGAACAUCCGUGGCGAAGGCGGCCACCUGGACCAGCACUGACGCUGAGGAGCGAAAUCCAGGGGAGCAAACGGG